GACGAACGCUGGCGGCGUGCCUAAUACAUGCAAGUUGAGCGAUGAAGAUUGGUGCUUGCACCAAUUUGAAGAGCAGCGAACGGGUGAGUAACGCGUGGGGAAUCUGCCUUUGAGCGGGGGACAACAUUUGGAAACGAAUGCUAAUACCGCAUAACAACUUUAAACAUAAGUUUUAAGUUUGAAAGAUGCAAUUGCAUCACUCAAAGAUGAUCCCGCGUUGUAUUAGCUAGUUGGUGAGGUAAAGGCUCACCAAGGCGAUGAUACAUAGCCGACCUGAGAGGGUGAUCGGCCACAUUGGGACUGAGACACGGCCCAAACCCCUACGGGAGGCAGCAGUAGGGAAUCUUCGGCAAUGGACGAAAGUCUGACCGAGCAACGCCGCGUGAGUGAAGAAGGUUUUCGGAUCGUAAAACUCGGUUGGUAGAGAAGAACGUUGGUGAGAGUGGAAAGCUCAUCAAGUGACGGUAACUACCCAGAAAGGGACGGCUAACUACGUG
RNAcentral lists this ribosomal RNA (497 nucleotides) under uncultured bacterium. Its description in RNAcentral is "partial 16S ribosomal RNA". It matches the Rfam family "Bacterial small subunit ribosomal RNA", at positions 28 to 507 of the family's 1533-position model. The record is from RNAcentral.